This 406-nucleotide ribosomal RNA is filed under the name uncultured bacterium. RNAcentral's name for it is "partial 16S ribosomal RNA". It matches the Rfam family "Bacterial small subunit ribosomal RNA", at positions 30 to 526 of the family's 1533-position model. The record is from RNAcentral.
AUUGAACGCUGGCGGCAGGCUUCACACAUGCAAGUCGAGCGAGCGGCGGAUGGGUGCGUCAUGUCUGGGAAACUGCCUGAUGGAGGGGGAUAACUACUGGAAACGGUAGCUAAUACCGCAUACCAUCAGAUGUGCCCCGAUGGGAUUAGCUAGUAGGUGGGGUAAUGGCUCACCUAGGCGACGAUCCCUAGCUGGUCUGAGAGGAUGACCAGCCACACAUGAACUGAGACACGGUCCAGACGCCUACGGGAGGGAGCAGCGGGGAAUAUAGCACCAGGGGCGCAAGCCUGAUGCAGCCAUGACGCGUGUGUGAAGAAGGCCUUCGGGUUGUAAAGCACUUUAGGCGAGGAGGCGUUACUCGCAGACGAAGCACCGGCUAACUCCGUGCCAGCAGCCGCGGUAAUUC